CCUACGGGAGGCAGCAGUGAGGAAUAUUGGUCAAUGGGCGCGAGCCUGAACCAGCCAAGUCGCGUGAGGGAAGACGGUCCUAUGGAUUGUAAACCUCUUUUGUCGGGGAGCAAAAGACGCCACGCGUGGCGUUCCGAGAGUACCCGAAGAAAAAGCAUCGGCUAACUCCGUGCCAGCAGCCGCGGUAAUACGGAGGAUGCGAGCGUUAUCCGGAUGUAUUGGGUUUAAAGGGUGCGCAGGCGGAAGAUCAAGUCAGCGGUAAAAUUGAGAGGCUCAACCUCUUCGAGCGGUUGAAACUGGUUUUCUUGAGUGAGUGAGAGGUAUGCGGAAUGCGUGGUGUAGCGGUGAAAUGCAUAGAUAUCACGCAGAACUCCGAUUGCGAAGGCAGCAUACCGGCGCUCAACUGACGCUCAUGCACGAAAGUGUGGGUAUCGAACAGGAUUAGAUACCCUAGUAGUC
This 459-nucleotide ribosomal RNA is filed under the name uncultured bacterium. RNAcentral's name for it is "partial 16S ribosomal RNA". It matches the Rfam family "Bacterial small subunit ribosomal RNA", at positions 338 to 795 of the family's 1533-position model. The record is from RNAcentral.